Molecule: transfer RNA, 73 nt
Filed under: Synergistes jonesii
Lineage: Bacteria; Thermotogati; Synergistota; Synergistia; Synergistales; Synergistaceae
Rfam family: tRNA
About the family: Transfer RNA (tRNA) molecules are approximately 80 nucleotides in length. Their secondary structure includes four short double-helical elements and three loops (D, anti-codon, and T loops).
Source: Rfam by way of RNAcentral
GCCAGCGUGGCUCAGCAGGUAGAGCAGCGCACUCGUAAUGCGCAGGUCUCCAGUUCGAAUCUGGACGCUGGCU